Molecule: non-coding RNA, 78 nt
Organism: Schistosoma curassoni
Lineage: Eukaryota; Metazoa; Platyhelminthes; Trematoda; Strigeidida; Schistosomatidae
Source: Rfam
AACUUUCUGAAACCGUGCAGAGCUUUCGUCAUAUACCAACCCAUUAGUGCUGAUCAGACUUCCAAGAUGAGUGAAGUU